GAUGAACGCUGGCGGCGUGCCUAAUACAUGCAAGUCGAGCGAACGGACGAGAAGCUUGCUUCUCUGAUGUUAGCGGCGGACGGGUGAGUAACACGUGGAUAACCUACCUAUAAGACUGGGAUAACUUCGGGAAACCGGAGCUAAUACCGGAUAAUAUUUUGAACCGCAUGGUUCAAAAGUAAAAGACGGUCUUGCUGUCACUUAUAGAUGGAUCCGCGCUGCAUUAGCUAGUUGGUAAGGUAACGGCUUACCAAGGCAACGAUGCAUAGCCGACCUGAGAGGGUGAUCGGCCACACUGGAACUGAGACACGGUCCAGACUCCUACGGGAGGCAGCAGUAGGGAAUCUUCCGCAAAGGGCGAAAGCCUGACGGAGCAACGCCGCGUGAGUGAUGAAGGUCUUCGGAUCGUAAAACUCUGUUAUUAGGGAAGAACAUAUGUGUAAGUAACUGUGCACAUCUUGACGGUACCUAAUCAGAAAGCCACGGCUAACUGCGUG
RNAcentral lists this ribosomal RNA (497 nucleotides) under uncultured bacterium. RNAcentral describes it as "partial 16S ribosomal RNA". It matches the Rfam family "Bacterial small subunit ribosomal RNA", at positions 28 to 507 of the family's 1533-position model. The record is from RNAcentral.